UGUGAAGUCAAAACAUAUACAGUGGUGCCCCGCAAGACGAACGCCUCGCAAAACGAAAAACUCGCAAGACGAAAGGUUUUUUCGUUUUCGAGUUGCUUCGCAAGACGAAUGUCCCUAUGGGCUUGCUUCGCAAGACGAAAACGUCUUGCAAGUUUGUUUCCUUUUUCGUAAAACCGUUAAAACCCAGGGUGCAUUGCUUGAAGAGGUGCAGUUGCGACUUGACCUCGAGGAGCAACACAUUGCACGCGGUGUGGUGGCCUUUCUGAGCUUUUUAAAGAGUUUGCUGGAUUUUUGAAGCUUUUCCAAAACUUCUUCUACAGCUGUUUGGUAAGUUGAACUUUUAAAACUUGUUUGGGGUUUUUGGGAUUUUGGGUUGGGGUGUUUAGAAUUCAAGGACUUGGUGUUGGGGAGAGGUUUGCAAGAAUCUGGGAGCUUGUGUGGUUUUUUUCUGCAUUUUUAUGAUUUUCUGUGACCAUUGGGCCAUGUUUAUUUUUUUUAAAAAAAAAAUCUGGCUUUGAAUUUUUGAAUUUCUGUGUGCUGGGUGGAUGGGGGAACAGCUGGGGAGGUGUUUGCAAGAAUCUGGGAGCUUGUGUGCUUUUUUUUGAAUUUUUAUGAUUUUUUGUGACCAUUGGGCCAUGUUGGUUUUUUUUGAAAAAAGUUUCUGGGUUUUAAAUUUCUGUGUGCUGGGUGGAUGGGGGAACAGCUGGGGAGGUGUUUGCAAGAAUCUGGGAGCUUGUGUGCUUUUUUUUGAAUUUUUAUGAUUUUUUGUGACCAUUGGGCCAUGUUGUUUUUUUUCAAAAAGUUUCUGGGUUUUAAAUUUCUGUGUGCUGGGUGGAUGGGGGAACAGCUGGGGAGGGGUUUGCAAGAAUCUGGGAGCUUGUGUGCUUUUUUUUGAAUUUUUAUGAUAUUUUGUGACCAUUGGGCCAUGUUGUUGUUUUUUUGAAAAAAAUUUCUGGGUUUUAAAUUUCUGUGUGCUGGGUGGAUGGGGAACAGCUGGGGAGGGGUUUGCAAGAAUCUGGGAGCUUGUGUGCUUUUUUUUGAAUUUUUAUGGUUUUCUGUAACCAUUGGGCCAUGUUGUUG
Molecule: long non-coding RNA, 1080 nt
Filed under: Podarcis lilfordi (Lilford's wall lizard)
Lineage: Eukaryota; Metazoa; Chordata; Lepidosauria; Squamata; Lacertidae
Source: RNAcentral